This is a non-coding RNA of Tetranychus urticae (two-spotted spider mite), 697 nucleotides long. The record is from RefSeq and is a predicted model, not a curated record. Lineage: Eukaryota; Metazoa; Arthropoda; Arachnida; Trombidiformes; Tetranychidae.
AAGGAAAUAUCUUGCUUGCUUGCCAGUCAUAUAUUUAUUUACCUUAUUAUUAGAUGAUUUAAUUCAAAUUUUUGGCUUUGCUUCGGUUAAUGUCGUGCAAUUACAUUAAACACUGUCUACCAUUCGUAUAAAAGAUUUACUAGCUUUUCAUUUAGAUUAUAAAUUGUACAUCAACACUUUGGUUUCAACGGACAUUAAUACAAAGCCAUUUUCAACAUCAUCUGUUUAGUCAAGACAAUAUCACAUCCAAACGAUGAUGGCAGCUACAUGAUGUUUUGAUCACAUAAAGCGGUAACCUGAUCAAAUGAGUUCGAUUAAAGGUUGGAUUACUGAUAAAAAUGAAAAACAAACCAAUCAUGAUUCUGAAGCUGGUAAUUGAAUAAUUAUCCACACAAAUAAUGAUAAUGGCUUGAAGAAGUCAAACAGGCGAUGUCAAUAGGAAAAAAAGCAAAAGAGAUUCAAGAUUUUUUAGGAUAUAAAGAGAGAGUGAAAGAGUGUCAACAAUUCAAUUUAACCUGGUUUUGAUGGUUUCUCCAAUCAACUGUCAAAGUGCCCUUUACAUGAUCGAUCCUGUUUUUGUCGCUUUCAUUUCAACUUUCAUUGGAUUACCAAUUUUUAUGGGGAAACAUCUAAUAUCCAAACAAGGCGUCAUUAGUGUUUUAUUUGAUAAACAUCUAACUGUGAUCAGUAAACGUUG